CAGUGUCUUAACAAAGCUCUAAGUCUACAGGAAGUGAUUGGACCCCAUUUCCUGUCCUGGUACUGAGAUAACAUUGUAUCAAGCUGCAAAAGCACUUCCUGUCUCUCUCCCUCUAUGUGUGUCCCUGAAGCUCCGUCUUAAGAACAAACUAAAAAUAAUCCCCAGAUGCUUUGUUCAUCAGCUGUCCUUCUCCAAGAGGUGAUGUCAGACCAGCAAUUAGUUCAGCACAAUGGGAUAAAUAUAGCUGGGGGUCGAAGGUAAAACUCUCAUGAACAGCAGUGGCAGGCUUCCCCUUCUGCCGGAGCAUGAAAAUCCAUAAGACAAAUGAAGGAACGGGGGAAGGACAUUAGAAGGACUUCAGAGAGAGCAGGACCAUUCCAUCACCGGCUGCGACGUGAUAAACGAAGAGCAAAGAUAAACAGAAAGCGCGCGCGCUGCUCUGACAGGAUGAAUGAAGCUGCAACGUGUCCAAUCGGGAGCUGAAAACAAGAUGUAUCUUCAUUAAAUCUGUAGUAUGUCAAAACACUGGGACAAAAUGGGAAUAAACAUCAAUGAAUAG
Long non-coding RNA from Carassius auratus (goldfish), 559 nucleotides. RefSeq lists it as uncharacterized. Lineage: Eukaryota; Metazoa; Chordata; Actinopteri; Cypriniformes; Cyprinidae. The record is from RefSeq and is a predicted model, not a curated record. The transcript has 2 exons.